UACGUAGGGUGCGAGCGUUAAUCGGAAUUACUGGGCGUAAAGCGUGCGCAGGCGGUGAUGUAAGACAGAUGUGAAAUCCCCGGGCUUAACCUGGGAACUGCAUUUGUGACUGCACGGCUAGAGUGCGGCAGAGGGGGAUGGAAUUCCGCGUGUAGCAGUGAAAUGCGUAGAUAUGCGGAGGAACACCGAUGGCGAAGGCAAUCCCCUGGGCCUGCACUGACGCUCAUGCACGAAAGCGUGGGGAGCAAACAGG
This 253-nucleotide ribosomal RNA is filed under the name uncultured bacterium. Its description in RNAcentral is "partial 16S ribosomal RNA". It matches the Rfam family "Bacterial small subunit ribosomal RNA", at positions 524 to 776 of the family's 1533-position model. The record is from RNAcentral.